GACGAACGCUGGCGGCGUGCCUAAUACAUGCAAGUAGAACGCUGAAGACUUUAGCUUGCUAAAGUUGGAAGAGUUGCGAACGGGUGAGUAACGCGUAGGUAACCUGCCUACUAGCGGGGGAUAACUAUUGGAAACGAUAGCUAAUACCGCAUAACAGCAUUUAACCCAUGUUAGAUGCUUGAAAGGAGCAAUUGCUUCACUAGUAGAUGGACCUGCGUUGUAUUAGCUAGUUGGUGAGGUAACGGCUCACCAAGGCGACGAUACAUAGCCGACCUGAGAGGGUGAUUGGCCACACUGGGACUGAGACACGGCCCAGACUCCUACGGGAGGCAGCAGUAGGGAAUCUUCGGCAAUGGGGGCAACCCUGACCGAGCAACGCCGCGUGAGUGAAGAAGGUUUUCGGAUCGUAAAGCUCUGUUGUAAGAGAAGAACGUGUGUGAGAGUGGAAAGUUCACACAGUGACGGUA
RNAcentral lists this ribosomal RNA (467 nucleotides) under uncultured bacterium. RNAcentral's name for it is "bacterial SSU rRNA". It matches the Rfam family "Bacterial small subunit ribosomal RNA", at positions 28 to 477 of the family's 1533-position model. The record is from RNAcentral.